GUCUACGGCCAAGCCUCCCUGAACAAGCUCAAUGUCUGAUCUCGGAAGCUAAGCAGGGUUGGGCCUGGUUAGUACUUGGAUGGGAGACCACCUAGGAAGACCAGGUGCUAUAGGCG
Pteropus alecto (black flying fox) is the source of this 116-nucleotide non-coding RNA. NCBI's taxonomy places the organism in Eukaryota, Metazoa, Chordata, Mammalia, Chiroptera, Pteropodidae. The record is from Rfam.